GACGAACGCUGGCGGUGUGCUUAACACAUGCAAGUCGAACGAUGAAGCCUAGCUUGCUAGGUGGAUUAGUGGCGAACGGGUGAGUAAUACGUGAGUAACCUACCUUUAACUCUGGGAUAAGCCUGGGAAACUGGGUCUAAUACCGGAUACGACCAAUCUCCGCAUGGGGUGUUGGUGGAAAGCGUUAUGUAGUGGUUAUAGAUGGGCUCACGGCCUAUCAGCUUGUUGGUGAGGUAACGGCUCACCAAGGCGACGACGGGUAGCCGGCCUGAGAGGGUGACCGGCCACACUGGGACUGAGACACGGCCCAGACUCCUACGGGAGGCAGCAGUGGGGAAUAUUGCACAAUGGGCGCAAGCCUGAUGCAGCGACGCCGCGUGAGGGAUGAUGGCCUUCGGGUUGUAAACCUCUGUUAGCAGGGAAGAAGAGAAAUUGACGGUACCUGCAGAGAAAGCGCCGGCUAACUACGUG
This 471-nucleotide ribosomal RNA is filed under the name uncultured bacterium. RNAcentral's name for it is "partial 16S ribosomal RNA". It matches the Rfam family "Bacterial small subunit ribosomal RNA", at positions 28 to 507 of the family's 1533-position model. The record is from RNAcentral.